UUCUUGAUCCUAUGUGUUGUAUUGAGUGUUGGUCACUGGUCUUUGGGAAGCUUGGACAGAAGUGGGGCAGCCAUGGAGCUGCUGACUGGGACUGGCCUGUGGCCCGUGGUCAUAGUCACAGUCAUCUUCAUAUUACUGGUGGACAUGUUGCACCGGUGCCAGCGCUGGACUUCUUGCUGCCCACCAGACCCUGUGCCAUGGCCUGUGCUGGGUAACCUGCUGCAGGUGGACCUGGAUAACAUGCCAUAUAACUUGUACAAGGUGAGUAAAGUAGGGAAGGAUGGUAACUGAUGUCAUAGUGUCCUUAGCAGCACAUAGUGGAGGUUAAGAAACAAGUCAUACAGGGAUCUGGGCCACCAAGAAGAGACAGACUUAUCAAUUUUUUGGUGGUAGCCACUGGGACCUUCUAGAGCAAAAGUUUUGGAGGUCCAGGAGGUAAAGCAGGAUGUGACAACAAAGUUCAGUCUAGUUGGGGAGGGCAGCAAGCAUAGAGGUGACAAGUCCCUUAUGAUCUUGUCAAAGCCGAGGUCUUGAUCUGCUGGGAGGUCGAAUGCACUGAACACUGAGUGGAGAGAGGAGAUGUGACUGCUGAAUCUCUUACCACUAUGUGUUCUCUGGAUGCAUUGCCCAUCUGGAGGAAACAGAUUUUCUUCAUGUGUGAUGAAAUGCUAAGGGUCCCCAGGACAAUUUUGUGGCUCUGGCAAUGUAACAACUGGGUGGUCACAUCUACUGUGAUUCCUUUGCUGAACUUAAAAGAUAAGACACCACAGUGGUAGGCAUCCUCAGGCUGGGGAUGGAGCUUAAGAAUGAACAUUUUUCUUGGAUAUAUGAGGAAGAAGGUUUACGCACACACAUCCAUGUGCAUGCACACAAACAUACACACACACACACACACACACACACACACACACACACACAAACGGGAACCCAUAUGUGCAUGUUCAACACCUUGCCCAUGUUUGCAUAGUGAGCCAGGUUCUAUGCUACGUGGGGACGACUACUUCCUAUGUGCUCUGUCCCUCUACUUCAGCUUCACAACCGCUAUGGUGACGUGUUCAGCCUGCAGAUGGGCUGGAACCACAUGGCCGUGAUCAACGGACUGAAGGUGAUACAGGAAGUGUUGGUGACCUGUGGAGAGGACACUGCUGACCGCCCUGAAAUGCCCAUCUUUCCACACCUAGGCUAUGGGCAAAAAGCUAAAGGCAAAGGCUGUGUGGGGGCAGAGAUGGCAUCAAAGCCAGACAAGGGGGGACAGUGAGCAAAGGAAGGUCAGAUCAUGAUGCAGGUGGUAAUGUAGUUAAGCAUUGCAGCAGAAAGUCACAGAAAUCCAUUGUGGAGCCUCCUGAGCAUGGUGGAGGGUGGUAGAGACAUGUACUGGAGGAAGGGUGAGGUAUGGAGGACACCGACAAAGAAGAGAAAUGAAGGUGGGAGGGGGCACCAAAGCCAGGUGUCCUUGGUUUUACACAGAUGUGUCUGCAGGUGUGGUCCUUGCUCCUUAUGGGCCUGAGUGGAAAGAGCAGAGGUGAUUCUCUGCGUCGACCCUGUGCAACUUCAGCCUGGGCAAGAAAUCACUGGAGCAGUGGGUGAUGGAAGAGGUUGGACACCUCUUUGAUGUCUUCACUGCCCAUGCUGAGGAGGCUGUAGACAAGAGAUUUGGAAAGAACACAUCUAGAAGUGUCCACCACAGUAAUAGGAGCCUGGAGAUUGACAUACAGCAAAAGGAAGUGAGAAGCUGACCAAGGUCAGGGCUUCUAGAAGCUGAGACCCUGGCCCUCUGCCCACAUGGAACAUCUGUGAGAUUUUCCAGGUUCUGAACACAUUCCCAAUUCUCCUACGCAUCCCAGGGUUGGCUGACAAAGUCUUCCCUGGGCAAAAGACAUUUCUCAUAAUGGUGGAUAAGCUGGUGACUGAGCACAAGAGGACCUGGAACUCGGACCAGCCGCCUCGAGACCUGACUGAUGCCUUUAUGGCUGAGAUGGAGAAGGCAAAGGGAAACCCUGAGAGUAGCUUCAAUGAUGCAAAUCUAUGUCUGGUUGUCCUUGACCUGCUGGGUGCUGCAACUGUGACCACCUCAACCACACUGUCCUGGGCCCUGCUGCUUAUGAUCCUGCAUCCGGAUGUGCAGUGCCAAGUACAACAGGAAAUCGAUGAGGUCAUUUGGUAUGUGUGGCUUCCAGAGAUGGCAGACCAGGUCUGCAUGCCCUUCACCAAUGCUGUCAUUCAUGAGGGCAUGACUCUCAUCUCCAACCUGUUCCGUGCUGAAGGAUGAGACUGUCUGGGAGAAGCCCCUUCGCUUCCAUCCUGAACACUUCCUGGAUGCCCAGGGCCACUUUGUGAAGCCUGAGGCCUUCAUGCCAUUCUCAGCAGGCCACAGAUCAUGCCUGGGGGAGCCCCUGGCCCUCAUGGAGCUCUUCCUCUUCUUCACCUGCCUCCUGCAGCGCUUUAGCUUCUCAAUGCCAGCUGGACAAUCCCUUCCCAGUGAUUAUGGCAUCUAUACAAUGCCAGUUACUCCAGCACCUACCAGCUCUGUGCAGUGGUUUGCUAGCAGGGGCAGUGGCUCCAGCCAUCAUCACAGAUUGUUCUGACUGAUGUCCAAUAAACAAGUUUUGUGUCUGAAUCUCA
Molecule: long non-coding RNA, 2622 nt
Filed under: Mus musculus (house mouse)
Lineage: Eukaryota; Metazoa; Chordata; Mammalia; Rodentia; Muridae
Description: novel transcript
Source: RNAcentral